Larimichthys crocea (large yellow croaker) is the source of this 471-nucleotide long non-coding RNA. RefSeq lists it as uncharacterized. NCBI's taxonomy places the organism in Eukaryota, Metazoa, Chordata, Actinopteri, Sciaenidae. The record is from RefSeq and is a predicted model, not a curated record. The transcript has 5 exons.
CACAAACGGUGAUGUCGCGGUGUGAGCUGAGCCAGCAGUAAGGACGGGAUUACCACCCGUAUCUUUUCGGCUUUAAAUCGUCAAGCUCUGCCCACCAUAAACGAGACUACGUUACGUCUGCUACGCUUUAUGUGAUCCUGUUCAAACAGAUCAAGAGUUUGGGGUUCCUGUCUACGUCACAGUGAAGAUCCUGGGAAUCGUUUUGCUCUGCUGUACAAUCAUCAUCUUUGAGUGCUGCCUUUAAAUGAGAUGCUGCAACAAACCAGAGAAGGAUGCAGUCGAAGCAGUGACUGAGAUUCAAGCAUCAUGAAGGAGAACAGGAAGAUUUCUUAAAUAUUAAAUUACUUUGCAGAAGAUUGUUUUUUUUUGUUUGUUUUAAUGGAAGAUAACAAAUAUACUGCAGCUUCAUCAUUACUUUGUCUAGAUUGACUUGAUUUGUGGCAUUUUUAUGUUGAUUCUUUCCAAAAGAGA